RNAcentral lists this transfer RNA (70 nucleotides) under Dipodomys ordii (Ord's kangaroo rat). It matches the Rfam family "tRNA". From Rfam's summary of the family: Transfer RNA (tRNA) molecules are approximately 80 nucleotides in length. Their secondary structure includes four short double-helical elements and three loops (D, anti-codon, and T loops). Further hydrogen bonds mediate the characteristic L-shaped molecular structure. tRNAs have two regions of fundamental functional importance: the anti-codon, which is responsible for specific mRNA codon recognition, and the 3' end, to which the tRNAs corresponding amino acid is attached (by aminoacyl-tRNA synthetases). tRNAs cope with the degeneracy of the genetic code in two manners: having more than one tRNA (with a specific anti-codon) for a particular amino acid; and 'wobble' base-pairing, i.e. permitting non-standard base-pairing at the 3rd anti-codon position. Lineage: Eukaryota; Metazoa; Chordata; Mammalia; Rodentia; Heteromyidae. The record is from Rfam by way of RNAcentral.
GGUGGUUUAGGUCACUUGGUAGAAUGUCUGCCUGACAAGCAGAAGGUCUUGAGUUCAAACCCCAGUACCA